CUUUGGGAAAAGCUUGAGGAAAGAGUGUUGUGGCAAUAGUAAUAGCCAAGGCCCCAGCUACACUGCCAUUUAAUGCAGAUAUAUGAAUCUACACUUACCAUAUACUACAUUCUUUGUGUUGUAUUAUUUACAUGGGCUAUAUUGCAUUACUAUCGAUAUUAUUUACGCAGGGGAAGCAUUGUUUUAAUCUUCAUUUCUCAGCACUGUCCCCAAGGGGAGCGUGACAGCUCUCCUAGGGUUUCCUUCUCAGCGCUGCCCCGCACAUGGACGGCUAGGAAGGCGAAGGGGAACCGCAAGUGUGUUCUCAGACGCAGUCGGAUUGGAGCCCUUGGCGUAGCAGCUCCGAAGAAAAGCGAGGCGGCCAUUCUGUCGGAUUACUGAAGAAAUAGAAUUGUACAUAUCACCCAAGCAUGGGAGUUAGAGGCUUGCACUCGUUUAUGACCAGUGCCUGCCCAGAGAGUUGUGCAGUAGUCAACCUGAAAGAAAUGGCAGAAAAUCACUGCAGGCAGAAUCCUGGAUCUGAUCCUGUUAUUGUGGUAGAUGCCAUGUCUUGUCUUCGGCAUUGGUACACACCAGAGUCAUGGGUCUGUGGUGGCCAGUGGCGUGAAUAUCAUUCCAGUCUGGAUGGUUUCAUAAAAGCUUUCAUGGCAGCUGGUAUCAAACUGGUGUUCUACUUUGACGGAGUGGUGGAACAGAAAAAAAGAGAUGAAUGGGUCAAACGAAGAUUGAAAAAUAACAAGGAAAUUGCCAGGAUCUUUCAGGUUAUUAAAGCCAGUAAGCAACAACCCAGGAGAAGCAUGUUCUUUAUUCCAUCUGGGUUGGCUACUUUUACACGCUUUGCUUUGAAGACUCUUGGACAAGAGACAAUAUGUUCAUUGCAAGAGGCAGACUAUGAAGUGGCCUCUUACGGACAGCAGAACAAUUGCAUGGGCAUUCUCGGAGAAGAUACAGACUACCUGAUUUAUGACACCUCUCCAUAUUUUUCCAUUAAUAACCUCUGCUUGGAUAAGCUGGAAACCAUCAUGUACUCAAGGCAGAACCUCUGCAGGAACCUAGGCCUGCAAGUAACUGAGCUUCCCCUUUUGGCCUGCCUCCUUGGCACAGAUACUGUUCCAGAGUGGGCCAUGGCACAGUUUCGGAAUCAGUGUGUUGCAUCAUAUGAUGUAAAAAGCCAGGGCUCUGGUAAAAAGACUAGUGUAAUUCCAGCAGUGGCACAUUAUAUUUCAACUCUUCCACGUUCAUAUGAGAGUUUGAUCGUGUUGGCAGAAAAUGUGCCUUUGGGAUUAGACAAGUCUAUACUUUCCAAAGGAAUAGAGUCUUAUCUUCUACCAGGGCAGAUGUCCCCAUGGCUCCUUUCUGACUUUUCAUAUCACUCAGCAGCCUCUCUCAAACAAGAUGUGCCUCUGUGCUUAGAUCAGGAGAUCUUUCAGAUUGCAAAAGAACAGCACGUGAGAGCUGAAAGCUACAUGAUAUACAAUGUCCUUAGUGGCAGAGAGGUUGAAUGCAGCAACACACUGGAAGAUGAAUAUGAUACAGAGCUUCCCAGUCAGGCACAUGUAUAUUGCCUUGUGCGUCAGCAUAUCUAUUCCAUCCUGCUGGAGUCAGCAAAAGAUGUCGAGGGAAUAUGUCCUGUGGUAAAGGAAUGGUUUGUGUAUCCUGGGAAUCCUUUACAGCAGCCAGAUCUGGUACAACCCAAACAACUCCCAGGUGGGACUCCUGGGUUGAGAUCUCUAUGGCUCAGCAGGGAUCUAGAGGCUGAAAAGCAGCGCUAUCACACGUUUCUUGCAUGCUUCCAACUGGAAGAUGUAGCAGAGGACCUCCGGGCCUUGGGUGCCUCCACUGAAGCUGCCUGCUCCUUGCUGAUCUACCUCACUCUACAAGUGGACAGUCUCUCCACGGAAGACUUGCAUGCAUUUAUGGCUCAGGCUCUGUGCCUUGAGGGGAAGCCAGCUGCUCAGCUUGCAGACUUGCAGCUUGCCCAAAUUGACUCAAGAGCUGUGCAGCUUGGUUCUCUCUUUGUCCGGGGCCUGUGCAUACUGCUUACGGCCAACAGCGCCUGUGGUUUCCCCUUCAGAGUGGACAGUUUGAUGCCCUGGCAAGUAUUUGAUGGGAAACUUUUUCAGCAGAAAUACCAGCAGGCUCAUAGAGGUUGCACUUUACAUGAGCUCUUGGAGGGCAAUAAAUCGUGGCUCACCAAGUUCCAGAAUCUGAUGUCUCUUAUUUGCAAAGCAUGUGCAGCAAAAGGCAGAAACAUCCAGAACAGACAGCGACUGACUAGCUCAAUGACAGGGAGACAAGAAGGAGCGGAAGGUUCACACUUUCCAAAUCGAGGCAGAGCUCACACUUAUCCUUACUCUCGUCACCACCAAAACAGGGAAAAGCAAUGGAGGGGCCCUUCAUCUGAAUCUCAUUAUCCAGGUAAAAGUAACCUCUUACAAGAUCGUGUUGUUUUAUGGGGUGAAGUUAAGAAAAACAUGAAUUAUACAUUUAUAUCCAACUGAAUCACUUCAUGGUGCAAUACUGGUUGCAUGAGAAUUUCAAAUGUGUUUCGAUUGUUGGAGCCAGUUUGGUGUAACAGUUUCACUAUGACUCUGGGUUGGAAUCCCUGCUUGGCCAUGGAGACCCAUUGGAUGUCCUUAGAAACAUCACAUUCACUCAGCCUCUAAGGAAGACAAUGGCAAUCCCCCUUUAAACAAAUCUUGCCAAGAAAGUUCUACAAUAGGGUUAUUUUCAGGUAGAAAUUGAUUUAAAAGUAAACACAACAACAACAUAGGCAGUAUCCUUCUACAAGUGGUUUCCCCAUUUUCACAACGUCACAAUCCAGCUGAAUUAUGAUAGCAAGGACUUUCACUUUACUAACAUUAAACUGAAUUUGGGAUAAGGUGAGGAUCACUGUCUCCUUCAGCUACUAAAAAAAGUUAAUUAAACCUAUUGCUCUUUGAGAAGACAUGGGUCCCUUCUAUACUGCCAUAUAAUCCAGAUUAUCAAAGCAGAUAAUCCACAUUAUCUGCUUUAAACUGGGUUAUAUGAAUCUACACUGCUAUAUAAUCCAGUUUAAAACAGAUAAUCUGGAUUGUAUAUGGCAGUUUAGAAGGGGCCUUAAACUCCUUAAAGGGUUGAACCUAGAUGGACUUAGGUUUAGAAUAGACUCAGUGAAAUCAAUAAAACUUAUAACUGCCUUUAAUCCUAGUGUUGACAGCAAGUCUACCCUAAAUAUGAUUAAACUUGGUUCCACUCCAACAACAUUUUAUAAUAAUGGUAGAAGUAAGCACUCACACCAAUGGAAAACAUUCCCUUAUUUUCUACGCUUUCCUCACAAAUAUAUGUGAACUGCCCCUGUUUGAACAGAAGCUUUCUGUGUUUGUUUUCUUUCAAAUUCUUAAAGAAUUUCAGUGGCCUGCUGCUGAUAGCCUGUAGUUUUAGAUUCUAAUUUGUACCCCCAAUUUAAUAAAGUACGACUGAGCUUUUGUGCAGGAUUUCUCUGUAAUGGUUCUUGGACAUACUUGAAAGUGAGCUUACAAUUGCAGGAAAGGCUUUUUGUCUUUCAAGCCUGUUUCAAUGAGACAAUUAAAAUAUCACGCUUAAUUGUCUGUAAUUUUCCUCCAUGUCUCCGCCACAGUUUGGCAACCCUAUAUUAAUCCUCUUGUAAACACAAGGCUUAGAGCACGUGUUCAUUUAGCAACUGGAAAAACAGAAGUUUAAUUCUCCAUUUUAAACAAAUGACCUUCUAACCCAGUCUUGCACAUGGCCAAUUUUUACAUAAUAUAGAAGGAUUAUAUCAACAGACUUGGCCAAGCUUUUUCAGAGUAUAGAAUGAAAAGGGCAGCACAACCAAUAUUUUUGUGCUCCCUGAGGUUUUCUGGGAAGAUGCUGAGUUUCCUUCCUGGAAAGAGGGACAUCGUACCUCCUGCUUAUUCACUUGGAAGAAGUGACAGAAACAACUAACUAUCUGCACAUUCAACUUGUUUCAGGCCCCAUCUGCACUGCCAUAUAAUGCAGUUCCAUAAUGCAGUUUAACUGCAUUGAACUGCAUUAUAUGGCAGUGUAGACUCAUAAAAUUCAGUUCAAUGUAGUUAAAAUGCAUUAUGAAACUGCAUUAUAUAGCAGACUUCAGACUCUACUCAGCAUCACAGCAGGCACUGUGAAAAGAAAACUCAUCAUCAUUUAUUUAUUUAUUUUCUUAUUUCCAUCAUUUCUAUGCCUCCCUUCUCACCCAAAGGGACUGAGGGCGGCUCACAGUUUGGCAAGAUUCAAUGCCAAUAUACAAUACAAAAGAUAAAACAUAAGCAAUUAAAGCAAUUAAACAGUUUAGCAUAAUACAAUAAAUACAUUUAAAACAAUACAAUAUAAAACACACACAAUUCACACACUCUCAAGUGCUCCACCUAUGGACUUUAUUUCACCUUGUAAGUGAGGCAACCCCUAAAAAUGACCAGCUAAAAGCUGUACAGGCAGAGCUGAGUUGACAAAGGACUUUACUGCAUCCUGUGGCAUUCACACAACCACUGAUUCCAGGAAUGUAAUGCGACAGUCAUCCUUGUUAUCCUACCUGUUCUUACUUCCACAACCACAAUGCUUCACAGUUCCAUAAAUCCCAUGGCUGGAUUUCCUGUUGGUAAGGCAAAUCCUUCCUCCCACAGUUUCAUACCUUUUAAUUCUUCUUAAAAGGAACUUUGCAGUUUCACAAAGUUACUUUGAAAAAAACUUCCUGUUUUCAUUACAGGGUAAAGGAAUGGGGGAGAGCUGGGAAAUCCUGCCUCCUGAUGUCAUUUCUGUGCCAACUUGCUGGCAUAGAAGUACCUGGAGAUGAUCACACAGCUGAGUCCCAAGACCAUGGUGCUAUUAAUGCAUUUUUUCUGUGAAAAGUAAGAGGCAGUUGUGUAGCAUGGAAGUGUCAGAUUAGUAAUCUGUAGUACACCAUAUUUGUUUGCCCCUCCAUGCAAUUAAAUCCAAAGUAGGUGUGUUCUUUGGAGCCCCCAGUGGCACAGCGUGUUAAAGUGCUGAGCUGCUCUGCUUGGGAACCGAAAGGUCGCAGGUUCAAAUCCAGGGAGCAGAGUGAGCACCUGCUGUUAGCCCCAGCUUCUGCCAACCUAGCAGUUCAAAAACAUGCAAUUGUGAAUAGAUCAAUAGAUACCCCUUUGGCAGGAAGGUAAUGGCGCUCCAUGCAGUCAUGACGGCCUCAUGACCUUGGAGGUGCCUAUGGACAACGCCGGCUCUUCGGCUUAGAAAUGGAGAUGAGCACCAACCCCCAGAGUCGAACACAACUGGACUUAAUGUCAGGUUAAAAACCUUUACUUAGAUGUGUUCCUGGACAGUACCUCUUCAAUAGAAAAUUUGUGAUCAGAGGUGAAAAAACCUGGAAAAACUAGGAAUCGGAACCUAUGCCACAAAAGGAAGAGUAGUUAAAUAUAUUUCAGUAAAUGUUUUAUUCAACACUAUAAAUAUACACAGGAAAAAUAAACCCAGGAAUUAUUUUAAUGGAAUAUAUGUUACUGAAAUAAACUAAAAUAAUUUUCACAUCAUUAGAAAAAGGAAGAUUGUCAUUCUGGUAUCUCAACACUUCUUUUCCACCCCUCAGGUUUAGGAUACAGAUCAAGACAUCAGCCAUCAAGGGGACAAAGAUUCCAGCUUGCACCUCGAUGGCCCAGAUGACUUAUCCAUGGAAUGGAAAGAAGAUAAGGAGUUCUCAUUGUGUAUGAAAAAGUAAUGAUUAAAAGUAAUAAACUAGUUUAUUUUGUAGAAAGAAUGGCUAGGCACAAUAUAAUUUUUAAAUAUCAGUUAUGCUUUGAUCUUGAUGUUAUGUUUUGAUGCUUUAAAGUGUGUGUGUGUGUGUGUGUGUGUGCGUGCGUGUGCGUGUGUGUGUGUAUACGUGUAUACACAUAGGGAGAAAAAACUACAAAACUCACAAAAAUUAAAGACAUUUUAUUUAUUUCAUGCCAAAAACAUUGCAUAGCAUGUGUAAAGCAAUGCUUUCGGGUUAGAAAGAUGAGCCAUUUACAAAAAUCAUUGCCCAGGGGACGCCCAACUGUAUUUACUCAGUCUUCAAGAAGGCUCUUUCCGUGUCCCCUAUUAAAAACAAUAAUAUAAUAAGAAAACAGCCCAAAAUUCAUAAACGUAAAAAAAACCUAAUCACUAUCAUAAACACAGAGAAAAAACCCUAAAAUCUACUAAUGUUAGGUGAUUUUAAAAAAGACUUCCAGCUUCCCAGUUGGUGAUUAUAAGUAUCAAAUACAAGUAGUCCUCAAAUUACAAACAAAAUAGGUACAGUAGGUUUUUCAAUAUCAUACUCUUGGAAAACAAAUAUGUUUGUUCCACAGCUUACUCCUUAAGCUAGCUCAUUGCUCUUGGCUGCUCUGGAUGAGCUUGCUUUAACACGAUUUUGGAAAUAAGACUGAAUUGAAACAAGAUUGAGUUAUGAAAUUAUAAUGGUGAUUACAGCAGACUCUCCACAUUUGCAGAUUUGACUUUUGCAGUUUGAUUAUUCACAGAUUUGAUUAAAAUGUUUUGGAAUACGUAUUUUGAUCCUCCAGUGACUGUGGUCAACUUGCAGCAAAGGCCAUGCUGAAGAACCCAGAGAUCCCUAGAGAGCAUAUUCUCUAUUUGUAGGUCUUCCCGUGAGGAAGAUGACUAUAGUUAUGCGGUAGGAUCUAAAGAUUCUUAAGUGUUCUCUGUAUUAAAAAAUGGUUUGCUUUUAA
RNA transcript from Anolis carolinensis (green anole), 6695 nucleotides. It is a transcript of the gene named family with sequence similarity 120 member B, with no coding region annotated. NCBI's taxonomy places the organism in Eukaryota, Metazoa, Chordata, Lepidosauria, Squamata, Anolidae. The transcript is spliced from 10 exons. The record is from RefSeq and is a predicted model, not a curated record.